GAAAUGCGAUAAGUAGUGUGAAUUGCAGAAUUCAGUGAAUCAUCGAAUCUUUGAACGCACAUUGCGCCCCUCGGUAUUCCGUGGGGCAUGCCUGUUCGAGCGUCAUCUACACCCUCAAGCUCUGCUUGGUGUUGGGCGUCUGUCCCGCCUCCGCGCGCGGACUCGCCCCAAAUGCAUUGGCAGCGGUUCCGUGCCCCCCUCUUUGCGCAGCACAUUGCCAUUCGAGGCGGCGGCGGCCCGCGUCCAACAAGCUCAACCCCCCCGUCUUUGACCUCGGAUCAGGUAGGGAUACCCGCUGAACUUAAGC
Molecule: unclassified non-coding RNA, 307 nt
Filed under: plant metagenome
Description: partial contains 5.8S ribosomal RNA, internal transcribed spacer 2, and large subunit ribosomal RNA
Rfam family: 5.8S ribosomal RNA (bases 1-105)
Source: RNAcentral